Molecule: ribosomal RNA, 207 nt
Filed under: uncultured bacterium
Lineage: Bacteria
Description: partial 16S ribosomal RNA
Rfam family: Bacterial small subunit ribosomal RNA
Source: RNAcentral
CGCGUAGGCGGUUUCGGAAGUUAUGGGUGAAAGCCCCCGGCUCAACUGGGGAAUUGCCUGUAAAACCACGGGACUGGAGUGCUGGAGAGGGAAGUGGAAUUCCCAGUGUAGCGGUGAAAUGCGUAGAUAUUGGGAGGAACACCAGUGGCGAAGGCGGCUUCCUGGACAGACACUGACGCUGAGGCGCGAAAGCCAGGGGAGCAAACG